AACAGUGGCUUCUGCCAUGAGCGGCACACACAGGGCAACUUGCUCGCUUUGAGUGUGGAAUCGACAUCAAGAGAUUUCGGAAGAGUAAUUUUUUGGUAUUUGGGCAGCUGGUGAUUGUUGGUCCUGGCGCCCUU
Small nuclear RNA from Fukomys damarensis (Damara mole-rat), 134 nucleotides. The record is from Ensembl. Lineage: Eukaryota; Metazoa; Chordata; Mammalia; Rodentia; Bathyergidae.